CGCUGGCGGCGUGCUUACACAUGCAAGUCGAACGGGAUCCGGCCAAGCUUGCUUGGCCGGUGAGAGUGGCGAACGGGUGAGUAAUGCGUGACCGACCUGCCCCGUGCUUGGGAAUAGCUCCUGGAAACGGGUGGUAAUGCCCAAUGCUCCGCCCGGCCUCAUGGCCGGUCGGGAAAGCUUUGGCGGCACGGGAUGGGGUCGCGUCCUAUCAGCUUGUUGGUAAGGUAACGGCUUACCAAGGCUUCGACGGGUAGCCGGCCUGAGAGGGCGACCGGCCACAUUGGGACUGAGAUACGGCCCAGACUCCUACGGGAGGCAGCAGUGGGGAAUAUUGCACAAUGGGCGCAAGCCUGAUGCAGCGACGCCGCGUGCGGGAUGGAGGCCUUCGGGUUGUAAACCGCUUUUGUUCACGAGCAAGGCAUUCUUUUUGGGUGUUGAGUGUAGUGUUCGAAUAAGCACCGGCUAACUACGUGCCAGCAGCCGCGG
RNAcentral lists this ribosomal RNA (486 nucleotides) under Bifidobacterium magnum. RNAcentral describes it as "bacterial SSU rRNA". It matches the Rfam family "Bacterial small subunit ribosomal RNA", at positions 34 to 520 of the family's 1533-position model. The record is from RNAcentral. Lineage: Bacteria; Bacillati; Actinomycetota; Actinomycetes; Bifidobacteriales; Bifidobacteriaceae.